RNAcentral lists this unclassified non-coding RNA (200 nucleotides) under Hevea brasiliensis (rubber tree). Lineage: Eukaryota; Viridiplantae; Streptophyta; Magnoliopsida; Malpighiales; Euphorbiaceae. The record is from RNAcentral.
UUUUUUUGGGGUCAAAUUUGGCUACCUGAUGUGGACCAAUUAUAUGCCAAAGCCAAAAUUUAAAUUUACUUGUGGUUUCUGUCUGUGCAUUUCAUUUUGGAGAGGUCUAUUGAUGUUUUGAAUAUCGUCUUCAAACCAUAUGUUCAAUUCACCUAUUUUUUGGUCAAAAUUGAUGCAUUUUUAGGUUGUUAGAAGCAUGC